UUUUCCGGCGUCCAGCUCGCCACCGACGGCCCUUGAAACUUUGUCUGCUUAAUAAAUCCACGCCGUGGCGUACCGAUCACCGCAUCAGGUCCCCAAGGUGAACAGCCUCUGCUCUAUAUGAACAAUGCAGGUAAGGGAAGUCGGCAAAUUAGACCCGUAACUUUGGGAUAAGGGUUGGCUCUAGUGCUGCGUGGGAGUGGUUGCCCACGGUUGGGGAAGUCGGCGACGCUGGCUGGGCGCGGGGGCCUUCGGGACUUGUGCCAGCUGCUGAGCUGGUUUUUCUGCUUUGGGCGACGCCCACGGCAUGCAGCAGACUAGAACUGCAACGGGCAAAGGGAAUCCGACUGUUUAAUUAAAACAAAGCAUUGCGAGGGCCGUGGCCGGUGAUGACGCAAUGUGAUUUCUGCUCAGUGCUCUGAAUGUCAAAGUGAAGAGAUUCAAUCAAGCGCGGGUAAACAGCGGGAGUAACUAUGACUCUCUUAAGGUAGCCAAAUGCCUCG
Molecule: ribosomal RNA, 500 nt
Filed under: Callophyllis odonthalioides
Lineage: Eukaryota; Rhodophyta; Florideophyceae; Gigartinales; Kallymeniaceae
Description: partial 28S ribosomal RNA
Rfam family: Eukaryotic large subunit ribosomal RNA
Source: RNAcentral